This 1508-nucleotide ribosomal RNA is filed under the name uncultured rumen bacterium. RNAcentral describes it as "bacterial SSU rRNA". It matches the Rfam family "Bacterial small subunit ribosomal RNA". The record is from RNAcentral.
AGAGUUUGAUCCUGGCUCAGAACGAACGCUGGUAGCGUGGAUUAGGCAUGCAAGUCGAACGGGAUCGCCGAGUUAGCAAUAAUGAGGCGUGAGAGUGGCGGAUUGGGGAGGGACACGUGAGCAACCUGCCUUUGAGUUGGGGAAAACCAUUGGAAACGAUGGCUAAUACCGGAUGUGGCGCCUGGGGACAUCCCCGGAGCGCUAAAGGGGGCGACCCGCAAGGGGCUCCCGCUCGUAGAAGGGCUCGCGCACCAUCAGCUUGUUGGCGGGGUAACGGCCCACCAAGGCUUACGGUUAGCUGGUCUGAGAGGAUGACCAGCCCCACUGGGACUGAGAUACUGCCCAGACUCCUACGGGAGGCUGCAGUCGAGGAUCAUUUGCAAUGGGCGAAAGCCUGACAAUGCGACGCUGCGUGGAGGAUGAAGGCCUUCGGGUUGUAAACUCCUGUCAUAAGGGAACAGGCGAGGGUACCCAAUACGUACCUUAGUUGAGUGUACUUUAAGAGGAAGGGACGGCUAACUCUGUGCCAGCAGCCGCGGUAAUACAGAGGUCCCUAGCGUUGUUCGGAUUUACUGAGCGUAAAGGGCGCGUAGGCGGCAGGGCGUGUCAAGUGUGAAAUCUCCGGGCUCAACCCGGAAAGUGCGCUUGAAACUACCUUGCUUGGAGUACGGAAGAGGGAAUCGGAAUACAGGGUGUAGCGGUGAAAUGCGUUGAUAUCCUGUAGAACACCGGAGGCGAAGGCGGAUUCCUGGUACGUUACUGACGCUGAGGCGCGAAAGUCGGGGGAGCAAACAGGAUUAGAUACCCUGGUAGUCCCGACCUUAAACGGUGCACACUCGGGGUGGGGCCAUUCACCGGCUCCGUCCCUAAGCUAACGCGAUAAGUGUGCCGCCUGGGGAGUACGGCCGCAAGGCUAAAACUCAAAGAAAUUGACGGGGGCCCGCACAAGCAGAGGAGCAUGUGGCUUAAUUCGAUGCAACGCGAAGAACCUUACCUGGGUUUGACAUGUAGCUGCAAGGCUUAUGAAAGUAGGCCGCCUUCGAGGGUGCUACACAGGUGCUGCAUGGCUGUCGUCAGUUCGUGCCGUGAGGUGUUUGGUUAAGUCCACCAACGAACGCAACCCCUUUGACAUGUUGCCAGCGCGUUAUGGCGGGAACUCGUGUCACACUGCCUGUUUACGCAGGAGGAAGGUGGGGAUGACGUCAAGUCAGUAUGGCCCUUACACCCAGGGCUGCACACGUGCUACAAUGGCCGGUACAGAGGGAUGCGAUACCGCGAGGAGGAGCUAACCCCUAGAGAGCCGGCCUCAGUUCGGAUUGGGGUCUGCAGCCCGACCCCAUGAAGUCGGAUUUGCUAGUAACGGCGCAUCAGCAUUUGGUGCCGUGAAUGCGUUCCCGGGCCUUGUACACACCGCCCGUCACAUCAUGAAAGCCGUCUGCACCCGAAGUCGGGCAUUUGUCCGCCUAAGGUGUGGGUGGUGAUUGGGAUGAAGUCGUAACAAGGUAACC